GAUGAACGCUAGCGGGAGGCCUAACACAUGCAGGCCGAGCGGUAGAGUCUCUUCGGAGACUUGAGAGCGGCGCACGGGUGCGGAACACGUGUGCAACCUGCCUUUAUCUGGGGGAUAGCCUUUCGAAAGGAAGAUUAAUACCCCAUAAUAUACUGGAUGGCAUCAUCUGGUAUUGAAAACUCCGGUGGAUAGAGAUGGGCACGCGCAAGAUUAGAUAGUUGGUGAGGUAACGGCUCACCAAGUCAGCGAUCUUUAGGGGGCCUGAGAGGGUGAUCCCCCACACUGGUACUGAGACACGGACCAGACUCCUACGGGAGGAAGCAGUGAGGAAUAUUGGACAAUGGGUGAGAGCCUGAUCCAGCCAUCCCGCGUGAAGGACGACGGCCCUAUGGGUUGUAAACUUCUUUUGUAUAGGGAUAAACCUAGAUACGUGUAUCUAGCUGAAGGUACUAUACGAAUAAGCACCGGCUAACUCCGUG
This 479-nucleotide ribosomal RNA is filed under the name uncultured bacterium. RNAcentral's name for it is "partial 16S ribosomal RNA". It matches the Rfam family "Bacterial small subunit ribosomal RNA", at positions 28 to 507 of the family's 1533-position model. The record is from RNAcentral.